Molecule: ribosomal RNA, 195 nt
Filed under: uncultured Lysobacter sp.
Lineage: Bacteria; Pseudomonadati; Pseudomonadota; Gammaproteobacteria; Lysobacterales; Lysobacteraceae
Description: partial 16S ribosomal RNA
Rfam family: Bacterial small subunit ribosomal RNA
Source: RNAcentral
GGAGUGAUAUUUUCGCGACAAUGGGCGGACAAGCCCUGAAUGCCAGCAACUGCCGCGUGUGUGAUGAAGGCCUUCGGGUUGUAAAGCUCUUUUGUCCGGGAAGAAAACCUCCUUCUUAAUUCGGUGGGGGGUUGACGGUACCGGAAAAAUAACCCCCGGCUAAUUUCUUGCCCCCCCCCCCGGUAUAUAUAAAGA